GAGGAUCCGAAUGGUGACUGCGUU
RNAcentral lists this non-coding RNA (24 nucleotides) under Arabidopsis thaliana (thale cress). The record is from RNAcentral. Lineage: Eukaryota; Viridiplantae; Streptophyta; Magnoliopsida; Brassicales; Brassicaceae.